This 441-nucleotide ribosomal RNA is filed under the name uncultured bacterium. RNAcentral's name for it is "partial 16S ribosomal RNA". It matches the Rfam family "Bacterial small subunit ribosomal RNA", at positions 338 to 795 of the family's 1533-position model. The record is from RNAcentral.
CCUACGGGCGGCAGCAGUGGGGGAUAUUGCACAAUGGGGGAAACCCUGAUGCAGCGACGCCGCGUGAGUGAAGAAGUAUUUCGGUAUGUAAAGCUCUAUCAGCAGGGAAGAAAAAAGACGGUACCUGACUAAGAAGCCCCGGCUAACUACGUGCCAGCACCCGCGGUAAUACGUAGGGGGCAAGCGUUAUCCGGAUUUACUGGGUGUAAAGGGGGCGCAGCCGGCGAUGCAAGCCAGGAGUGAAAGCCCGGGGCCCAACCCCGGGACGGCUCUUGGAACUGCGUGGCUGGAGUGCAGGAGGGGCAGGCGGAAUGCCUGGUGUAGCGGUGAAAGGCGUAGAUAUCAGGAGGAACACCGGUGGCGAAGGCGGCCUUCUGGACUGCAACUGACGUUGAGGCACGAAAGCGUGGGGAGCAAACAGGAUUAGAUACCCCGGUAGUC